RNAcentral lists this ribosomal RNA (468 nucleotides) under uncultured bacterium. RNAcentral describes it as "partial 16S ribosomal RNA". It matches the Rfam family "Bacterial small subunit ribosomal RNA", at positions 28 to 507 of the family's 1533-position model. The record is from RNAcentral.
GACGAACGCUGGCGGCGUGCUUAACACAUGCAAGUCGAACGGAAAGGCCCUGCUUUUGUGGGGUGCUCGAGUGGCGAACGGGUGAGUAACACGUGAGUAACCUGCCCUUGACUUUGGGAUAACUUCAGGAAACUGGGGCUAAUACCGGAUAGGAGCUCCUGCUGCAUGGUGGGGGUUGGAAAGUUUCGGCGGUUGGGGAUGGACUCGCGGCUUAUCAGCUUGUUGGUGGGGUAGUGGCUUACCAAGGCUUUGACGGGUAGCCGGCCUGAGAGGGUGACCGGCCACAUUGGGACUGAGAUACGGCACAGACUCCUACGGGAGGCAGCAGUGGGGAAUAUUGCACAAUGGGCGGAAGCCUGAUGCAGCACCGCCGCGUGCGGGAUGACGGCCUUCGGGUUGUAAACCGCUUUCGCCUGUGACGAAGCGUGAGUGACGGUAAUGGGUAAAGAAGCACCGGCUAAAUACGUG